GCCGAUUUAGCUCAGUUGGUAGAGCACCGCACUCGUAACGCGAAGGUCACAGGUUCGAACCCUGCAAUCGGCA
Non-coding RNA from Streptococcus infantis SK1302, 73 nucleotides. NCBI's taxonomy places the organism in Bacteria, Bacillati, Bacillota, Bacilli, Lactobacillales, Streptococcaceae. The record is from Rfam.